UCUCAUAUCAAUUUGCUGUAAUAGUCGGAUUAAAGACUUGGUGCUAAAGGCCAUUGCUUUGCCAAUUAUUACAUUGUUACUAACUUUGGGAAUCCAGGCUGGGUCAUCACAGAAUAUUAGCAGAGCCAGUUUCCUAAAGGGAUUCAUUUUUGGGACGACCUCUUUUGCCUUCUAGUGCAGAUUUCGACAACGAAAGGUGAAAAGCGGUAAAUCAAAUAUCCACACCGGCGACUGGUGCUAAAAAAUGUUGUUGGCUGGUGGCAAGCAUUAAAUCGGGGUGGGAAUGAAGGGGGAUUCGUUUACAGGUGAGGAGAAAUUUUUUGGAAAAUAUCUUACGAAAUGAAAAUGGUAAGAUGUUUUCUUAAAAUAAAGGGCUUCUUUUCCCGUGUUUUUGAAAAGAUUUUACAAUAGGAAGUCAUUUUCCACCAAACAAACAACGAAAAAGAAUGAAAAUGUUUUCUGUAAAAUAUUUUACAGGUAAACAAACACAAUCUAAUUGUUGUUACGUAUAAUACGCUUGGAUCAACAAGUUUAUCACAACUUCUCAUUAUUGUGUCGAACACUUGAUCAAGAAUUUUCAGAAUGCAUUUUUAAAUACAAAAAUCUCUUACAAAUAAAAUAAAUUUUGAAAUGCUAAAUCCUUCAAAUAUUUUGAACACCUUAAGUUCAUAAACAAAUUGUUUCAUCUUAAUUUUUGGGGAAAAACAAGAGCAAAUUCAUUAACUAGAAAUUGUAAGGUUCUACCUCGAAGGGAACCCAUCCUGAAAUUCUCAAAGGCCAGGGUAGAACCAAGGACUAAGAGGGGGUCUGGAAAUGGUUUUCAACCUGCAAUAGAUGCGCCUCGGUUAAAACCUCACUAGCUGCGUCAUUGCCCCAAGCGCAAAGAUGGCUUGACCAGACCUUUUUAGCUCCAUUUUAUAGCAGGUGCAAGAUUUGUCUGAGUUAUUGUCCAGUACAUGUGGGAUAUAAUAGCCUAAUAAUUUUGUGUAUUUUGUUGUUACCUUGUUUAGCUUCUAGUGUAGUUACUUUUCUUGUUUAACUUCACAAGAAAAAUAAAUAAAUAAAUGUGUAAUUAAAACAUUUUACCUAUAUUAAAUAAUAAUGCUAUAAAAA
This is a long non-coding RNA of Gossypium arboreum, 1113 nucleotides long. RefSeq lists it as uncharacterized. The record is from RefSeq and is a predicted model, not a curated record. Lineage: Eukaryota; Viridiplantae; Streptophyta; Magnoliopsida; Malvales; Malvaceae. The transcript is spliced from 2 exons.